GAAGAUGUCUACUGGAGAAGAGACAAAACCUUUCAACAAAGAAGAACCCAUCCAGAGGGGUUCCCACUUGUUCAGGGGUCAAUCUUUUUUUUUUUCUGAUAUCGGAGAUCUUUUUUGGCCAAUGUUAGUUGGACCUAUGUGCUCAUUCUGGUACCCCUGACCUUGUGGUUCUGUUUUGGGACGCUCCCUAACCAGGACUACGACAUUAAAGAUUCUCCUGUUGUGUCUGACUUUAAGUACAGCUGGUUGGGUGCCUCUGUGUUUGUCUCUUCCCGGUCCCCAGUCGUUCCCCACGCAUCCUGGCCGGGUUCUGCUGCACUGUUAAGCCAGGUUGCUUGCUAAGGAUGAGGGUUAACUCCAAAGCCGUGAACUCUUUAAAGAAACAACCUAAUGGAAUUGGUUUUCCUCCCUCCUUCUUUCCUUUUUACCGAUCGGUCUCAAAUGA
Long non-coding RNA from Fundulus heteroclitus (mummichog), 445 nucleotides. RefSeq lists it as uncharacterized. Lineage: Eukaryota; Metazoa; Chordata; Actinopteri; Cyprinodontiformes; Fundulidae. The record is from RefSeq and is a predicted model, not a curated record. The transcript is spliced from 3 exons.